UGGCUCUCGCAACGAUGAAGAACGCAGCGAAAUGCGAUAAGUAGUGUGAAUUGCAGAAUUCAGUGAAUCAUCGAAUCUUUGAACGCACAUUGCGCUUCCUGGUAUUCCGGGGAGCAUGCUCGUUUCAGAAUCAUUUAAAAACUCACAAGCUCAUGAAUCGCCAUGUUGGGAGUGGAUAUGGGUCCUUUCGCUUCCGCCUCUCUCCAUUCUUGGAGAUUGUGGGUAGCCCCCUCUCUGGGAAGCGGAAGACCUCAAAAUGAUUAUAAGCAGUGCAACUGUUGGGUGUUGUUUAAAAGAAUCAACAUAACGCGAUAGAUUAUGUCCAUCUCAACGUUACUGAUUUUCAGCAUCUAAACAAGCAUUUGCUUACGGCCCUCAAAACACACUGUUGGGCAGCAUUCUGUGCGGCCCAGCUUUGGAAACUUGGUCUGAAAUCGAGCAAGAAAACCCGCUGA
RNAcentral lists this unclassified non-coding RNA (455 nucleotides) under uncultured fungus. RNAcentral's name for it is "partial contains 5.8S ribosomal RNA and internal transcribed spacer 2". The stretch from base 1 to 133 matches the Rfam family "5.8S ribosomal RNA", at positions 22 to 154 of the family's 154-position model. Lineage: Eukaryota; Fungi. The record is from RNAcentral.